This 466-nucleotide ribosomal RNA is filed under the name uncultured bacterium. RNAcentral's name for it is "partial 16S ribosomal RNA". It matches the Rfam family "Bacterial small subunit ribosomal RNA", at positions 28 to 507 of the family's 1533-position model. The record is from RNAcentral.
GACGAACGCUGGCGGCGUGCUUAACACAUGCAAGUCGAACGGAAAGGCCCUGCUUGCAGGGUACUCGAGUGGCGAACGGGUGAGUAACACGUGGGUGAUCUGCCCUGCACUUCGGGAUAAGCCGGGGAAACUGGGUCUAAUACCGGAUAGGAGCCAUUUUUAGUGUGAUGGUUGGAAAGUUUUUUUCGGUGUAGGAUGAGCUCGCGGCCUAUCAGCUUGUUGGUGGGGUAAUGGCCUACCAAGGCGGCGACGGGUAGCCGGCCUGAGAGGGUGGACGGCCACAUUGGGACUGAGAUACGGCCCAGACUCCUACGGGAGGCAGCAGUGGGGAAUAUUGCACAAUGGGCGCAAGCCUGAUGCAGCGACGCCGCGUGGGGGAUGACGGCCUUCGGGUUGUAAACUCCUUUCGCUAGGGACGAAGCUUUUUGUGACGGUACCUAGAGAAGAAGCACCGGCUAACUACGUG